Molecule: ribosomal RNA, 52 nt
Filed under: Skermanella aerolata KACC 11604
Lineage: Bacteria; Pseudomonadati; Pseudomonadota; Alphaproteobacteria; Rhodospirillales; Azospirillaceae
Description: partial 23S ribosomal RNA
Source: RNAcentral
AUGAGAACAAGCGUAUGAAGGGCAUCUGGUGGAUGCCUUGGCACUGAGAGGC